CCGUCCGAGGGGCGCUGCAGCGCAUGAGGCCCAUGCGCGAGGCUCGGGCAGGCGGUCGUCAAUCGCAACGGCGCCCAUUCCCC
This 83-nucleotide non-coding RNA is filed under the name Halomonadaceae bacterium. Its description in RNAcentral is "SAH sequence". It matches the Rfam family "SAH (S-adenosyl-L-homocysteine) riboswitch aptamer". Lineage: Bacteria; Pseudomonadati; Pseudomonadota; Gammaproteobacteria; Oceanospirillales; Halomonadaceae. The record is from RNAcentral.